RNAcentral lists this ribosomal RNA (253 nucleotides) under uncultured bacterium. RNAcentral describes it as "partial 16S ribosomal RNA". It matches the Rfam family "Bacterial small subunit ribosomal RNA", at positions 524 to 776 of the family's 1533-position model. The record is from RNAcentral.
UACGAAGGGGGCUAGCGUUGUUCGGAAUUACUGGGCGUAAAGGGUUUGUAGGCGGUUACACAAGUCAGUUGUGAAAGCCCGGGGCUUAACCCCGGAAUUGCCAUUGAAACUGUAUAGCUAGAGAGUGUUAGAGGAAAGUGGAAUUCCUAGUGUAGGAGUGAAAUCCGUAGAGAUUAGGAGGAAUAUCGAUGGCGAAGGCAGCUUUCUGGGACAUUUCUGACGCUGAGAAACGAAAGCGUGGGUAGCAAACAGG